Salvelinus sp. IW2-2015 is the source of this 901-nucleotide non-coding RNA. NCBI's taxonomy places the organism in Eukaryota, Metazoa, Chordata, Actinopteri, Salmoniformes, Salmonidae. The record is from RefSeq and is a predicted model, not a curated record.
CUCUCCUCUUUCUCCCGUUGAAUCUCCAUCUGUAGCUCCUCCGUUAGCAUGGCACGAACCUGGCUCAUACGAAAGAAUAAGUCAACAGGGCACAAACAUUCUCUGUGGAGAGAGAUGAGGAGAUUGCAUUGAUGUUGAUAACGAUGGGUGCAGCCUACCACUGUCUGAAGAAGUCCCACAUAAGCUAAUGUUAAGGAAGUCACACUGCUUGCUUAGCGAGGUCCGUUUCCUCCUGAUUCGGCUCAUACCAAGGCUGGAACCCAGGACCUCUGCCUUGCUAACACCCCUGACCACCUUCCAGAAGCAUCUUACCCUGUUGCGCCACCUAAAAGCUAGCUAUUCGGCAGCACAAGUAGAGACAUUUCAGGCUGAGGAGUGAGUAUCACACAUCGCCAUCUCCUACAUUCACCCCCCAAACCCACUCCACAGCGACCCCAUCAUUGAGCUGAGCCCAACUGAUGAUCCGGAACACGGCACCAUUGUAAAAGACGUCACGCUGCUUGGUUAGCGGGUACAGCUUCCUCCCGAUUCACUCAUACCGAGGCUCGAACCCAGGACCUCUGCCUCGCUAUCACACGUAACCGCCCUCUCGAAGGGUCUUAUAUAGUCGCACCACUGAAAAAGUAGCUAUUCAGCAGCGCAAGUGGAGGCACUUCAGGCUAAGGAGUGAGUUUCACAGAUUGCCAUCUGCUACACUAACUUAUUUUUCCAAUUCAUUUCUGCAUAGAUAAAUGGCAAAAAUGCAUGCUCACCUGAAGAUGCAAAAUGACAAUAUUGAGGAUAAAGUGUUUGAAACAUUCAAACAUUCACUAAAGUUUAACUUUGAGUGAAACAAAUGUAUAAAUGACAACCAAUAUUUCCUCCUCAUCACGCCUUUAAUAAACAUCUCUACUGAUAUGUA